This 424-nucleotide ribosomal RNA is filed under the name uncultured bacterium. Its description in RNAcentral is "partial 16S ribosomal RNA". It matches the Rfam family "Bacterial small subunit ribosomal RNA", at positions 354 to 795 of the family's 1533-position model. The record is from RNAcentral.
GUUAGGAAUAUUGGACAAUGGGCGCAAGCCUGAUCCAGCCAUGCCGCGUGAGUGAUGAAGGCCUUCGGGUUGUAAAGCUCUUUAGUCCACGAAUAUAAUGACUGUAGUGGAAGAAUAAGCCCCGGCUAACUUCGUGCCAGCAGCCGCGGUAAUACGAAGGGGGCGAGCGUUAUUCGGAAUCACUGGGCGUAAAGCGUGCGUAGGCUGUUUUGUAAGUCAGAAGUGAAAGCCCAGGGCUUAACCCUGGAAUUGCUUUUGAAACUACAAGACUCGAAUUCGGGAGAGGAUAGCGGAAUUGUCAGUGUAGCAGUGAAAUGCGUAGAUAUUGACAGGAACACCAGUGGCGCAAGCGGCUAUCUGGACCGAUAUUGACGCUGAGGCACGAAAGCGUGGGGAGCAAACAGGAUUAGAUACCCGUGUAGUC